ACUAAGCCCAGUUAAGCAGACAAGUCCUGGGAAACCAAGAAAAAAAACGGCAGUUUUAAAUCAAAACUGCUGAGAAUGUUUCCUCAGCCAAACCUUAUAGAUAGUAAGCCUUGAUCAUCUGAACAAGCAACUUUAAGGUCUUCCAACUGUUAACUAGUUUAAUAAAUAAGACCUUACUAAUCUCUUGCAAGAAAAUAACUGGACAUGAAGAAACUUCCAGCAGGAAACAUGCCUCUUCAAAAUGCAAAUUUCUGAGCCCAGAUGAAAGAAAGCCAGCUCCUUGGAAGCCAUCAGCUACUUUCUGCCCAGUAAGCACCGAGGAGCUAGGGGGAAGUGAGAGACAGCCAUUCCCUCAUGCGCCUUCUAUUAGGGGCGCUGCGUCUGGACAUCUGUUCCCACCCGCCCUUGGACCACCUCGAGAACCAGCGCUUCAUCCAGGAUACUGGGCACCUCCUGUGCCAGGCUCGGGGCCGUGAAGAUGUUUGGUUUUCCCUGAGAUGUUUUCUCCUGAGGCUUUAGAGAGAGCCUUUGCACUCACAGGAACAAAGCAACCGCAUUAGGAGAAAAGGUGCCUGUUAACCUCCUGCCCCGAGACCAGCGUGGGCUGUGGUGCAGCAGGACUGGGGUUCUCAUCACUUUUCCCGUUUUGUGCCUAAAUCACCCCCUCUUCCUCUAUUUCCUUUUCUUCCCUGAUGUGUAGAAUGACUAAGACAUUUGAAACAUAAAUGUGAACUUGAAAUAAUAAAAUAGUUUGAGUUAAAACAAGAAUUAAAUCUUAAAUAUGUAACCCAAAGCUACGGAUGUCCUUGCUAAUCCAACAUGGGGUUCGCUUCUCCUGUUAGAUCAGACAACUGCCGGUUACAGAAUAUAAAUCUCAUUUCCUGCUUCCAGGGUGAUGGUAACUUUGUGACAGCUUGUCUCAGACUGUUUACAUGUUGAAGUAUAACACUGUUUUACCAAUCCCUGUUU
Bos taurus (domestic cattle) is the source of this 969-nucleotide long non-coding RNA. Lineage: Eukaryota; Metazoa; Chordata; Mammalia; Artiodactyla; Bovidae. The record is from Ensembl.